GUAGUGACAAGAAAUACCAAUAUAGGACCCAACGGGUACUAUGUUUGGAAUGAGUACAAUUUAAAAACCUUAACGAGGAACAAUUGGAGGGCAAGUCUGGUGCCAGCAGCCGCGGUAAUUCCAGCUCCAAUAGUGUAUAUUAAAGUUGCUGCGGUUAAAAAGCUCGUAGUUGGAUUUCGGAGUUGUUAUCUGAACCUUCUCGCCAUAAAAAGUGGGGGGGCUAAGGUAGCAGUAGUUUUCAUCAUAGUCCACCAGGAUACUCUCUUGGUGUGUACUGGGUGUUAACCUCCUUUUUUCUGGUACUUGCUAUCCAGCAAUGGGUAGUUUUGUCCAGAUAGUUUACUUUGAAAAAAUUAGAGUGUUCAAAGCAGGCAUAAUUGGCAUCAUGAAUACAUUAGCAUGGGAUAAUAGAAUAUGACAUUGGUCUUAUUUUGUUGGUUUCUAAGGCCAAAGUAAUGAUUGAUA
RNAcentral lists this ribosomal RNA (465 nucleotides) under uncultured eukaryote. RNAcentral describes it as "partial 18S ribosomal RNA". It matches the Rfam family "Eukaryotic small subunit ribosomal RNA", at positions 464 to 874 of the family's 1831-position model. The record is from RNAcentral.